Long non-coding RNA from Budorcas taxicolor (takin), 149 nucleotides. RefSeq lists it as uncharacterized. The record is from RefSeq and is a predicted model, not a curated record. Lineage: Eukaryota; Metazoa; Chordata; Mammalia; Artiodactyla; Bovidae. The transcript has 3 exons.
GAUUUUCAGUAGAGGAUCUUUACUUAUCUUUUUCAAAACGAAAAUUCCUGGAAAUGGAUUGCAUAACAGAAGUUUGAGCUUCAAGUAUAUCACCAUAAUGAAGAUGUACAACUAUAUUUCCGAAGUACUUCUAAGUCGCUCCACUGCCA